CCUACGGGUGGCAGCAGUGGGGAAUAUUGGACAACGGGCGAAAGCCUGAUCCAGCCAUGCCGCGUGUGUGAAGAAGGCCUUCGGGUUGUAAAGCACUUUCAGUGGGGAAGAAAGCCUUGGGGCUAAUACCCUCGAGGAAGGACAUCACCCACAGAAGAAGCACCGGCUAACUCCGUGCCAGCAGCCGCGGUAAUACGGAGGGUGCGAGCGUUAAUCGGAAUUACUGGGCGUAAAGCGCGCGUAGGCGGUCUGAUAAGCCGGUUGUGAAAGCCCCGGGCUCAACCUGGGAACGGCAUCCGGAACUGUCAGGCUAGAGUGCAGGAGAGGAAGGUAGAAUUCCCGGUGUAGCGGUGAAAUGCGUAGAGAUCGGGAGGAAUACCAGUGGCGAAGGCGGCCUUCUGGACUGACACUGACGCUGAGGUGCGAAAGCGUGGGUAGCAAACAGGAUUAGAUACCCUAGUAGUC
RNAcentral lists this ribosomal RNA (465 nucleotides) under Vreelandella stevensii. Its description in RNAcentral is "partial 16S ribosomal RNA". It matches the Rfam family "Bacterial small subunit ribosomal RNA", at positions 338 to 795 of the family's 1533-position model. Lineage: Bacteria; Pseudomonadati; Pseudomonadota; Gammaproteobacteria; Oceanospirillales; Halomonadaceae. The record is from RNAcentral.